RNAcentral lists this ribosomal RNA (271 nucleotides) under uncultured Faecalibacterium sp. Its description in RNAcentral is "partial 16S ribosomal RNA". It matches the Rfam family "Bacterial small subunit ribosomal RNA", at positions 71 to 339 of the family's 1533-position model. The record is from RNAcentral. Lineage: Bacteria; Bacillati; Bacillota; Clostridia; Eubacteriales; Oscillospiraceae.
AUGAGGAGCUUGCUCUUCAAAUCGAGUGGCGAACGGGUGAGUAACGCGUGAGGGACCUGCCUCAAAGGGGGGGACAACAGUUGGAAACGACUGCUAAUACCGCAUAAGCCCACGGCUCGGCAUCGAGCAGGGGGAAAAGGAGCAAUCCGCUUUGAGAUGGCCUCGCGUCCGAUUAGCUAGUUGGUGAGGUAAUGGCCCACCAAGGCGACGAUCGGUAGCCGGCUUGAGAGAGUGAACGGCCACAUUGGAACUGAGACACGGUCCAAACUCC